UGUCCCGACACGGGGUGCCCGCGACCGCGAGCUGAGAUCAGACCCGUCGAACCUGCUCCAGUGCAAUGCUGGCGAAGGGAUGUCGAAAUGCGCGAUG
RNAcentral lists this non-coding RNA (97 nucleotides) under Microbacterium sp. Its description in RNAcentral is "TPP sequence". It matches the Rfam family "TPP riboswitch aptamer (THI element)". From Rfam's summary of the family: Vitamin B(1) in its active form thiamin pyrophosphate (TPP) is an essential coenzyme that is synthesised by coupling of pyrimidine and thiazole moieties in bacteria. The previously detected thiamin-regulatory element, thi box was extended, resulting in a new, highly conserved RNA secondary structure, the THI element, which is widely distributed in eubacteria and also occurs in some archaea. RNAcentral also lists the same sequence under 1 other name. The record is from RNAcentral. Lineage: Bacteria; Bacillati; Actinomycetota; Actinomycetes; Micrococcales; Microbacteriaceae.